RNAcentral lists this ribosomal RNA (589 nucleotides) under uncultured bacterium. RNAcentral describes it as "bacterial SSU rRNA". It matches the Rfam family "Bacterial small subunit ribosomal RNA", at positions 59 to 653 of the family's 1533-position model. The record is from RNAcentral.
AAGUCGAACGAAGGCCCGGAGCUUGCUCCGGUCACCUUAGUGGCGGACGGGUGAGUAACGCGUGGGGACCUUCCCAGGAGCGGGGAAUAACCGAGGGAAACUUCGGCUAAUACCGCAUACGCCCUCCGGGGGAAAGGCUUCGGCCACUCUUGGAUGGCCCCGCGUCUGAUUAGCUAGUUGGCGGGGUAAAGGCCCACCAAGGCGACGAUCAGUAGCUGGUCUGAGAGGAUGAUCAGCCACACUGGGACUGAGACACGGCCCAGACUCCUACGGGAGGCAGCAGUGGGGAAUAUUGGACAAUGGGCGAAAGCCUGAUCCAGCGACGCCGCGUGUGUGAAGAAGGCCUGCGGGUUGUAAAGCACUUUCGAUGGGAACGAAAUGUGCCGGGCUAACACCCCGGCAAGCUGACGUUACUCAAUGAAGAAGCACCGGCUAACUCUGUGCCAGCAGCCGCGGUAAUACAGAGGGUGCGAGCGUUAAUCGGAAUUACUGGGCGUAAAGCGCACGUAGGUGGCGACGUAAGUCGGGUGUGAAAGCCCCGGGCUCAACCUGGGAAUUGCAUUCGAGACUGCGUUGCUGGAGUACGGAA